RNAcentral lists this ribosomal RNA (434 nucleotides) under uncultured bacterium. RNAcentral's name for it is "partial 16S ribosomal RNA". It matches the Rfam family "Bacterial small subunit ribosomal RNA", at positions 27 to 507 of the family's 1533-position model. The record is from RNAcentral.
GAACGAACGCUGGCGGCAUGCCUAACACAUGCAAGUCGAACGAGACCUUCGGGUCUAGUGGCGCACGGGUGCGUAACGCGUGGGAACCUGCCCUUAGGUUCGGAAUAACUCCCCGAAAGGGGUGCUAAUACCGGAUAAUGUCUUCGGACCAAAGAUUUAUCGCCUUUGGAUGGGCCCGCGUUGGAUUAGCUAGUUGGUAGGGCAAAAGCCUACCAAGGCGACGAUCCAUAGCUGGUCUGAGAGGAUGAUCAGCCACACUGGGACUGAGACACGGCCCAGACUCCUACGGGAGGCAGCAGUGGGGAAUAUUGGACAAUGGGCGAAAGCCUGAUCCAGCAAUGCCGCGUGAGUGAUGAAGGCCUUAGGGUUGUAAAGCUCUUUUACCCGGGAUGAUAAUGACAGUACCGGGAGAAUAAGCUCCGGCUAACUCCGUG